UGUGCAAGUGAUGAUAAAGAUAGACAGGGAUAUCUGAACACCCCUGUUUGGGUGACUGAUGACUCAAGUCUUAAAUGGGAAUCUCUCUGAUGCAUA
Hibiscus syriacus is the source of this 96-nucleotide small nucleolar RNA. RefSeq annotates it as small nucleolar RNA R44/J54/Z268 family. The transcript has a single exon. Lineage: Eukaryota; Viridiplantae; Streptophyta; Magnoliopsida; Malvales; Malvaceae. The record is from RefSeq and is a predicted model, not a curated record.